AAACAUCAAAGUCAACUACUGGCGAACUCCUCCAGAAUCGGGCAUACAUACUGAACGAUGAGCAGUGCCAGACAAUCAGAGCUGAGAAAACCAGCCAGGAGAAGAUGCGGAAGCUGUACGAGUUGGUGCCAAGCUGGGAUUAAUUGCAGAAGUACCUGCUCUAUCUGGCACUGACGGAAACAAACAGAGACCUGGUUGAAGAGCUGGAGGGGGUACACUUUGUUGACCGGCACCGAGAGAAGCUGAUCCAGCGAGUCUCAGAAGUGGACAGAGUCCUGAAGCUACUUCAGGGGCACACACUAACCCCUGAACAAUACCAGAGCAUCAGCACCGGGAGAUCCAAUGUGGAGAAAAUGCAGAAGCUGUACGAGCUGGUGCCGAGCUGGCGGAGGGAUCAAAAGGACUGGCUCUACCGGGUACUGUGGAGAACAAACAGAGCCCUUGCUGAUGAGUGUGCAGGGGAACAUUUUGUGGAGCGGCAUCGGGAGCAGCUGAUUCAACGCGCCUCUUCAGUUGACAGAAUCCUGCAUAUGCUUCAUCGGCGUGAACGGUCUGAUUUUAUACACCGAAG
Non-coding RNA from Chelonoidis abingdonii (Abingdon island giant tortoise), 571 nucleotides. Lineage: Eukaryota; Metazoa; Chordata; Testudines; Testudinidae. The record is from RefSeq and is a predicted model, not a curated record.